UGGGGAAUAUUGCACAAUGGAGGGAACUCUGAUGCAGCGACGCCGCGUGAACGAAGAAGGCUUUCGAGUCGUAAAGUUCUUUUAUAUGGGAAGAUAAUGACGGUACCAUAAGAAAAAGCCCCGGCUAACUACGUGCCAGCAGCCGCGGUAAUACGUAGGGGGCUAGCGUUGUCCGGAAUCACUGGGCGUAAAGGGUUCGCAGGCGGAAAUGCAAGACAGGUGUAAAAGGCAGUAGCUUAACUACUGUAAGCAUUUGAAACUGCAUAUCUUGAGAAGUGUAGAGGUAAGUGGAAUUUUUAGUGUAGCGGUGAAAUGCGUAGAUAUUAAAAAGAAUACCGGGGGCGAAGGCGACUUACUGGGCUCAUUCUGACGCUGAGGAACGAAAGCGUGGGUAGCAAACAGG
Molecule: ribosomal RNA, 403 nt
Filed under: Fusobacteriota bacterium
Lineage: Bacteria; Fusobacteriati; Fusobacteriota
Description: Fusobacteria bacterium partial 16S ribosomal RNA
Rfam family: Bacterial small subunit ribosomal RNA
Source: RNAcentral